GGCUCAGAUUGAACGCUGGCGGCAUGCCUUACACAUGCAAGUCGAACGGCAGGCACGGGAGCAAUCCUGGUGGCGAGUGGCGAAACGGAUGAGUAAUAUAUCGGAACGUGCCCGGUCGUGGGGGAUAACGUAGCGAAAGCUACGCUAAUACCGCAUACGAUCUACGGAUGAAAGCGGGGGGGUUCGCAAGAACCUCGCGCGAUUGGAGCGGCUGAUAUCAGAUUAGGUUGUUGGUGAGGUAAAAAGCUCACCAAGCCGACGAUCUGUAGCUGGUUUGAGAGAACGACCAGCCACACUGGGACUGAGACACGGCCCAGACUCCUACGGGAGGCAGCAGUGGGGAAUUUGGACAAUGGGCGAAAGCCUGAUCCAGCAAUGCCGCGUGCAGGAAGAAGGCCUUCGGGUUGUAAACUGCUUUUGUACGGAACGAAAAGGCUCUUUCUAAUAAAGAGGGCCCAUGACGGUACCGUAAGAAUAAGCACCGGCUAACUACGUG
Molecule: ribosomal RNA, 496 nt
Filed under: uncultured bacterium
Lineage: Bacteria
Description: bacterial SSU rRNA
Rfam family: Bacterial small subunit ribosomal RNA
Source: RNAcentral